GCUGAGAGGUGGGUGUGCCCGAAAGGGAGCGGCAACACAGGUGCUGCAUGGCUGUCGUCAGCUCGUGUCGUGAGAUGUUGGGUUAAGUUCCGCAACGAGCGCAACCCUUGUCAUUAAUUGCUACGCAAGGGCACUCUAGUGAGACUGCCGGUGACAAACCGGAGGAAGGUGGGGAUGACGUCAAGUCCUCAUGGCCCUUAUGGGUAGGGCUUCACACGUCAUACAAUGGCGCAUACAAAGGGCUGCCAACCCGCGAGGGGGAGCCAAUCCCAGAAAGUGCGUCGUAGUCCGGAUUGCAGUCUGCAACUCGACUGCAUGAAGUCGGAAUCGCUAGUAAUCGCGGAUCAGCAAUGCCGCGGUGAAUACGUUCCCGGGUCUUGUACACACCGCCCGUCACACCAUGGGAGUGGGUUUCACCAGAAGCCGGUUGCCUAACCGCGAGGGAGGCGCCGACCACGGUGAGAUUCAUGACUGGGGUGAAGUCGUAACAAGGUAGCCGU
RNAcentral lists this ribosomal RNA (500 nucleotides) under uncultured beta proteobacterium. Its description in RNAcentral is "bacterial SSU rRNA". It matches the Rfam family "Bacterial small subunit ribosomal RNA", at positions 1000 to 1503 of the family's 1533-position model. Lineage: Bacteria; Pseudomonadati; Pseudomonadota; Betaproteobacteria. The record is from RNAcentral.